This 255-nucleotide ribosomal RNA is filed under the name uncultured bacterium. Its description in RNAcentral is "partial 16S ribosomal RNA". It matches the Rfam family "Bacterial small subunit ribosomal RNA", at positions 524 to 775 of the family's 1533-position model. The record is from RNAcentral.
UACAGAGGUCCCGAGCGUUUGUUCGGAUUCACUGGGCGUAAAGGGUGCGUAGGUGGUUGGGUAAGUCUGAUGUGAAAUCUCCGGGCUCAACCCGGAAAUGGCAUUGGAUACUAUUCGGCUAGAGGUUUGGAGGGGGGGACUGGAAUUCUCGGUGUAGCAGUGAAAUGCGUAGAUAUCGAGAGGAACACCAGUGGCGAAGGCGGGUCUCUGGGCCGAAACUGGACGCUGAGGAGCGAAAGCGUGGGGAGCGAACAG